Molecule: ribosomal RNA, 253 nt
Filed under: uncultured bacterium
Lineage: Bacteria
Description: partial 16S ribosomal RNA
Rfam family: Bacterial small subunit ribosomal RNA
Source: RNAcentral
UACGGGGGGGGCAAGCGUUGUUCGGAAUUACUGGGCGUAAAGGGCUCGUAGGCGGCCAACUAAGUCAUACGUGAAAUCCCUCGGCUUAACCGGGGAACUGCGUCUGAUACUGGAUGGCUUGAGUUCGGGAGAGGGAUGCGGAAUUCCAGGUGUAGCGGUGAAAUGCGUAGAUAUCGGGAGGAACACCUGUGGCGAAAGCGGCGCACUGGACCACUUCUGACGCUGAGGCGCGAAAGCUAGGGGAGCAAACAGG